This 253-nucleotide ribosomal RNA is filed under the name uncultured bacterium. Its description in RNAcentral is "partial 16S ribosomal RNA". It matches the Rfam family "Bacterial small subunit ribosomal RNA", at positions 524 to 776 of the family's 1533-position model. The record is from RNAcentral.
UACAGAGGGUGCGAGCGUUAAUCGGAAUUAUUGGGCGUAAAGGGCACGUAGGCGGUCUUUUAAGCUAGAUGUGAAAGCCCUUGGCUUAACCAAGGAAUUGCAUCUAGAACUGAAAGACUAGAGAAAAGUAGAGGUGAGUGGAAUUUCCAGAGUAGCGGUGAAAUGCGUAGAUACUGGAAGGAACACCGGUGGCGAAGGCGACUCACUGGACUUUUUCUGACGCUGAGGUGCGAAAGCGUGGGUAGCGAACAGG